This 298-nucleotide unclassified non-coding RNA is filed under the name Hevea brasiliensis (rubber tree). Lineage: Eukaryota; Viridiplantae; Streptophyta; Magnoliopsida; Malpighiales; Euphorbiaceae. The record is from RNAcentral.
AACAAGAGGGGGUGGAAUAUAUCAAGAACAUAUGAACGAAGCUCUUGAUCGUUUGACUGAAGGAGCCUGGCUGCAUACAUUUCCAGAAGGGAAGGUCUGUCAAGAAGAUGCUCCUAUAAGACGAUUGAAGUGGGGAACUGCCAGUCUCAUUGCUCGUGCCCCCGUGACUCCAAUUGUCUUGCCAAUUAUCCAUCAUGGUUUUGAAAAGGUUAUGCCUGAGAACUAUGCUUUUGGGAGAAGACCUCCAGUCCCUUUAUGGAACCAGGAGAUAAAAAUAGUUGUUGGUGAGCCAAUGGAA